Long non-coding RNA from Raphanus sativus (radish), 1689 nucleotides. RefSeq lists it as uncharacterized. Lineage: Eukaryota; Viridiplantae; Streptophyta; Magnoliopsida; Brassicales; Brassicaceae. The transcript is spliced from 2 exons. The record is from RefSeq and is a predicted model, not a curated record.
AUGUGGUCCAUUUAUCCAAAACAAGCAUCUGUCUAAUGUGUAUUACUAUUUAAAUAAUAUAUAUGUGUAUAUAAAUGUGUGUGUGGGUGUGAAGAUGCUCGAUUACGAUUACAAGUAGAGACACUUGUCCUCUCUUUUUUUUGCCUUUUAAUGUUUUGCUCUCUCCUCCUCCUCAAAACCCAACUUCUGAUAACUAAAAUUUUCACAGGAUAGCAAUUCAUAUUCUCUGUAUCUUCCCUAAUUAAGUUUCGAUUAUCUAGCUAGGGUUGAUGUGAGAUUUGUAUAUCUAGAUGGAUCUAUUUAUAUGUUGGUUUUGAGAGGCUGAAGCUGCCAGCAUGAUCUGUGUAUAGAGAUAGUGGUACCAGAUCAUCCUGCGGCCUCAUUCACUCAAAUCACCAACAAUGAACUUAAGCUUCAUGAGAAAACGAUUCCAGUUGACUUUUACGACUUCCCUCUGUUAUCAUUGGAGGUAACAAUACAUUUGCUUAUCUAUUUCUACUUCCUUGUAAAUCCAGCAAUUCAUUCUUUUUUUUUUCUGACGAACGUUUUCAAUCAUUCAUGCUUAUUGUAUUACAUCUUGAUUCUGGAAAUUAUACGGAUAUAUGUAUCUAAUUUUAUAUGAUAUAUAUAAGUAUAUAUAUAUACGCACAUAGUCAUAUACGAUUUAGGUACUGUUUAUAUAUAUGAUCAUGUCCACGAGCUCAUGUUUGUUUGGUAGGAACGCGUUAACAUGUGACUAUGUGUUUCCUUUGCCAAGACUUAUGUCAAGCUCUAUAAUUUUAUAUUCAUAUAAUAAAUCUAGUAAUAAUAAAGAAGAAGGUGUAUUAGUUUGGUGACAAGACUCAUCUUAUUAAUAAUUUAUAUGAUUCCGGACUCAGAAAAAUACGAAUGGCAAAUUUUUUAUUUUUUAAGAAGUAAAAAACAAAAAGUUGUUUUGAUUCUACUUAACAAUGUUUAAAACACUGGCAAUUAAGUGUGUAUUGUUCAUUCAAUAUACGUAUGAUGCUUCUCACUCUUAUCAUAUCUAAUUAUUCAACACGUUACUACAAUAAUUCAAACAAUAGGAAAGUUUGCUACAAUAUUUUGAUUUAAGCAUUGUGUUUGCUAUGCAAUGAGAACUAAUAGAGCAAACUUGCUUGGACGUAUUAAUCUGGAGCUUAUUUUGAAAUAGAGUUUUGGGUCUUAUAGUCCCCUACAUCUAAUAAGAUAGAAAUGAUCAUUAUACUUGGUUCCAGAAACACCUAAGAACAAUCUUGCACACUAUUACUAUUUUCUUUAUUCUUUCUUCUUUGGCACUUGGUUGAUCUUUGUAUAUUGGACCAACGGAAAUCAAGUCUACAAUAUCAUGUACCAUUGACUUCGGAUCAAGCCUUCUAUCAUAUAGGUUGUCACAUACGUAACCGAUGGUUGGUAUAGGUUCUCUGCGUUGAUCAGCACGAGAACAGCUCGCCAACUCCAGCUUUUGUUUCCAAGAUCUUUCAUUUGGAGCUGGAGAACACAUGAUUGAUGGAUUGUAUUAAGAUCAUGCAUAUUAUUUUUCCUUAAUUAUAGAUGCAUCCUUUAUAUCUUUUGUUCAUUCGUAAGGAAUAGUGGUCUGUAGAGACAAUAAGUACUACGCCCUUCCGCUUCCUUUAUAGUAUGUUUUAUAACUUUUUCUAAAUUAUCUAUGCAAACUGAACUCAUUUUUAA